CGCAGGCGGCCUUUUAAGUUGGAUGUGAAAGCCUAUGGCUCAACCAUAGAACUGCAUCCAAAACUAUUGGGCUAGAGUGUGGGAGAGGAAGAUGGAAUUAGUUGUGUAGGGGUAAAAUCCGUAGAGAUAACUAGGAAUACCAAAAGCGAAGGCAAUCUUCUGGAACAUUACUGACGCUGAGGCGCGAAAGCGUGGGGAGCAAACAGGAUUAGAUACCCUGGUAGUCCACGCCCUAAACGAUGAAUGUUAGUCGUCGGGUAGCUAGUCUAUUCGGUGAUGCAGCUAACGCAUUAAACAUUCCGCCUGGGGAGUACGGUCGCAAGAUUAAAACUCAAAGGAAUAGACGGGGACCCGCACAAGUGGUGGAGCAUGUGGUUUAAUUCGAAAAUACGCGAAGAACCUUACCUAGCCUUGACAUAUAUUAGAACACUUUAGAGAUAGAGUGGUGCCUUCGGGGGCUUUUAUACAGGUGCUGCACGGCUGUCGUCAGCUCGUGUCGUGAGAUGUUGGGUCAAGUCCCGCAACGAGCGCAACCCUCGUCACUAGUUACUAACGGUUCGGCCGAGGACUCUAGUGAGACUGCCUUCGUAAGGAGGAGGAAGGUGAGGACGACGUCAAGUCAUCAUGGCCCUUACGGCUAGGGCAACACACGUGCUACAAUGGCCAGGACAAUGAGAAGCGAUACCGCGAGGUGGAGCAAAUCUAUAAACCUGGUCUCAGUUUCGGAUUGUAGUCUGCAACUCGACUACAUGAAGCUGGAAUCACUAGUAAUCGUAGAUCAGCUAUGCUACGGUGAUUACGUUCCCGGGUCUUGUACUCACCGCCCGUCACACC
RNAcentral lists this ribosomal RNA (834 nucleotides) under uncultured Campylobacterota bacterium. RNAcentral's name for it is "bacterial SSU rRNA". It matches the Rfam family "Bacterial small subunit ribosomal RNA", at positions 570 to 1403 of the family's 1533-position model. Lineage: Bacteria; Pseudomonadati; Campylobacterota. The record is from RNAcentral.